UACGUAGGGGGCGAGCGUUAUCCGGAUUCAUUGGGCGUAAAGCGCGCGCAGGCGGACCGUUAAGCGGGACCUCUAAUCCUGGGGCUCAACCUCAGGCCGGGUCCCGAACUGGCGGUCUCGAGUGCGGUAGGGGAGGUCGGAAUUCCCGGUGUAGCGGUGGAAUGCGCAGAUAUCGGGAAGAACUCCGAUUGCGAAGGCAGCUCACUAGACUGCAACUGACACUGAUGCUCGAAAGUGUGGGUAUCAAACAGG
RNAcentral lists this ribosomal RNA (252 nucleotides) under uncultured bacterium. Its description in RNAcentral is "partial 16S ribosomal RNA". It matches the Rfam family "Bacterial small subunit ribosomal RNA", at positions 524 to 776 of the family's 1533-position model. The record is from RNAcentral.